AUGAAAAGUGAGUUUUGUUUUGCAAAAUGUUUCUCUUUCUUUCGUUCCGUUUGUUUGUUUUUUUUCCCCCGUUUUCCUUUUCCUAUAUAAUAUUGUUAUAUUGUUAUCAGCUACAAGCGUGCCCGCACAAUCGGCGGCGACGGAAUGUAUAAAAUAGUUGAGAAAAAAAAAACAAAUUACGCGAGCCUACACGCAGCGCUACACAGUACACAGUACGUAGGUAUACGACGACGUUUUAUUGUAUGCAAAUGGUCAUGAUAUGAAAUAUUAUUUUACCGUGUGUGCGCCGCGCGGUCCAUACCGCAGUAGAAAGUUAAACAUAAUAAUAAUAGCGUCAUAUUAUAUACCAUUAUAAAGUCUAUUACGGCGUUUGAAUGGCCAAACAGGACGCCUCCUGUUUUUGGAACGGACGAGUAAAACGGGUGUCAAACUACAUA
Non-coding RNA from Cinara cedri, 437 nucleotides. The record is from the annotation of a GenBank genome assembly. Lineage: Eukaryota; Metazoa; Arthropoda; Insecta; Hemiptera; Aphididae.